UACAGAGGUCUCGAGCGUUAGGCGGAAUCACUGGGCUUAAAGCGUGUGUAGGCGGGUCGGUAAGUACCUUGUGAAAUCCCACGGCUCAACCGUGGAACUGCUGGGUAUACUGCCGAUCUUGUGCAACCUAGGGGCGAGCGGAACAGAUGGUGGAGCGGUGAAAUGCGUAGAUAUCGUAAGGAAGACCAGUGGCGAAGGCGGGUCUCUGGACAGUUCCUGACGCUGAGGCACGAAGGCCAGGGGAGCAAACGGG
This 253-nucleotide ribosomal RNA is filed under the name uncultured bacterium. RNAcentral describes it as "partial 16S ribosomal RNA". It matches the Rfam family "Bacterial small subunit ribosomal RNA", at positions 524 to 776 of the family's 1533-position model. The record is from RNAcentral.